GUGUCAGCAGCCGCGGUAAAACCAGCACCUCAAGUGGUCAGGAGGAUUAUUGGGCCUAAAGCAUCCGUAGCCUGUUCUAUAAGUUUGCGGUUAAAUCUAUACGCUCAACGUAUAGGCUGCUGUAAAUACUGUAGAACUAGGGAGUGGGAGAGGUAGACGGUACUCGGUAGGAAGGGGUAAAAUCCUUUGAUCUAUCGAUGACCACCUGUGGCGAAGGCGGUCUACCAGAACACGUUCGACGGUGAGGGAUGAAAGCUGGGGGAGCAAACCGGAUUAGAUACCCGGGUAGUCCCAGCUGUAAACGAUGCAGACUCGAUGAUGCAAUGGCAUAGAGCUAUUGCAGUAUCGCAGGGAAGCCGUUAAGUCUGCCGCCUGGGAAGUACGUACGCAAGUAUGAAACUUAAAGGAAUUGGCGGGGGAGCACCACAAGGGGUGAAGCCUGCGGUUCAAUUGGAGUCAACGCCAGAAAUCUUACCCGGAGAGACAGCAGAAUGAAGGUCAGGCUGAAGACCUUACCAGACAAGCUGAGAGGUGGUGCAUGGCCGUCGUCAGCUCGUGCCGUGAGAUGUCCUGUUAAGUCAGGUAACGAGCGAGAUCCCUGCCACUAGUUGCUAUUAUUACUCUCAGGAGUAGUGGGGCGAAUUAGUGGGACCGCCACAGUUAAUGUGGAGGAAGGAAGGGGCCACGGCAGGUCAGUAUGCCCCGAAACUCUGGGGCCACACGCGGGCUGCAAUGGUAGUGACAAUGGGCUCCUAACUCGAAAGAGAGAGGCAAUCCACAAACACUACCACAGUUAUGACUGAGGGCUGUAACUCGCCCUCACGAAUAUGGAAUCCCUAGUAACUGCGUGUCAUUACCGCGCGGUGAAUACGUCCCUGCUCCUUGCACACACCGCCCGUC
RNAcentral lists this ribosomal RNA (900 nucleotides) under uncultured archaeon. Its description in RNAcentral is "bacterial SSU rRNA". It matches the Rfam family "Archaeal small subunit ribosomal RNA", at positions 455 to 1354 of the family's 1478-position model. The record is from RNAcentral.